GUGUCAGCAGCCGCGGUAAUACGGAGGGAGCAAGCGUUGUUCGGAAUCAUUGGGCGUAAAGCGCGCGCAGGCGGUUGGGUAAGUCAGACGUGAAAGCCCAUGGCUCAACCAUGGAACUGCGUUUGAUACUGCCUGACUAGAGUUCAGGAGAGGUGGGCGGAAUUCCCAGUGUAGAGGUGAAAUUCGUAGAUACUGGGAGGAACAUCUGUGGCGAAGGCGGCUCACUGGACUGAUACUGACGCUGAGGCGCGAAAGCGUGGGGAGCAAACGGGAUUAGAUACCCCAGUAGUCC
RNAcentral lists this ribosomal RNA (292 nucleotides) under uncultured bacterium. RNAcentral's name for it is "partial 16S ribosomal RNA". It matches the Rfam family "Bacterial small subunit ribosomal RNA", at positions 505 to 796 of the family's 1533-position model. The record is from RNAcentral.